CAAAUUUUGUAGUACUGGUUCCCAGAUAUGAUCUCUCAUCUCGUAAAAACAUAACAGUAAAUACACAUAUGCAUAUCGGUCAAAUUGAAAUCUGUGUAAAACCCUAAGUCUAGGAUGGUGGAGUACAGAAUUUGAGAUCUCGUUAUUACGGCUAUGAGACAACGCUCCAUUAGAGACCAAACGAUAUAAAAGUUAACAACCAGUUUAAAAUAAUUGUGUCGAUGCCAAC
RNAcentral lists this long non-coding RNA (229 nucleotides) under Mytilus galloprovincialis (Mediterranean mussel). Lineage: Eukaryota; Metazoa; Mollusca; Bivalvia; Mytilida; Mytilidae. The record is from RNAcentral.